Molecule: non-coding RNA, 49 nt
Filed under: Hoeflea sp.
Lineage: Bacteria; Pseudomonadati; Pseudomonadota; Alphaproteobacteria; Hyphomicrobiales; Rhizobiaceae
Description: Guanidine-II sequence
Rfam family: Guanidine-II riboswitch aptamer (mini-ykkC)
About the family: Simpler in structure and has fewer highly conserved nucleotide positions than the ykkC-yxkD leader. Despite this each of its two stem-loop structures directly bind free guanidine.
Source: RNAcentral
AAGCGAGGACGACCUCCCCCAUCCGGGACGAACAGUCGGGACGACCCGG